UACGUAGGUGACCAGCGUUGUCCGGAUUUACUGGGCGUAAAGAGCGCGCAGGCGGUCGUUCAAGUCGAGUGUGAAAGCCCCCGGCUCAACUGGGGAGGGUCACUCGAUACUGAUCGACUUGAAGGCAGGAGAGGGAAGCGGAAUUCCCGGUGUAGAGGUGAAAUGCGUAGAUAUCGGGAGGAACACCAGUGGCGAAGGCGACUUCCUGGCCUGUUCUUGACGCUGAGGCGCGAAAGCUAGGGUAGCAAACGGG
RNAcentral lists this ribosomal RNA (253 nucleotides) under uncultured bacterium. Its description in RNAcentral is "partial 16S ribosomal RNA". It matches the Rfam family "Bacterial small subunit ribosomal RNA", at positions 524 to 776 of the family's 1533-position model. The record is from RNAcentral.